AAGUCGUAACAAGGUUUCCGUAGGUGAACCUGCGGAAGGAUCAUUAUCGAAUAAACUUGAACAGGCUGUUGCUGGUCCCUUCUGCCGGGACAUGUGCACGCUUGUCAUCUUUAUCAUCUCUCCAACUGUGCACGUAUUGUAGACCCUGGAGGGAGGCUGGAUUCGUUCCGAGUGGGGACUGCUGUGCUUUCAAAGAAAAAGUCGGCUUUCCCUUUGCAUCUCCAAGGUCUAUGUCCUUUUUUCACAACCUCUCGAACACGUUUAGAAUGUAGAACAAGGUCCUUUUGUACCUAUAAAGUUAUAAAUACAACUUUCAGCAACGGACCUCUUGGCUCUCGCACCGAUGAAGAACGCAGCGAAAUGCGAUAAGUAAUGUGAAUUGCAGAAUUCAGUGAAUCAUCGAAUCUUUGAACGCAUCUUGCGCUCCUUGGUAUUCCGAGGAGCAUGCCUGUUUGAGUGUCAUUUAACUUCUCAAAGCACAUCAUUUAUUUGAGGUGGCUUUGGACAUGGGGGGCUUUUUUGCAGGCUUUCUUCUCAAGUCUGCUCCCCUGAAACGCAUUAGUGGUAUCUGGAGCGGAGACUGCUAGGUGUGAUAAUAUCAUCUAUGCCUUUUGGUGUGACCGCAUUGAAACAGAUUGUGCUGCUUCCAACGCACAUUUCAUCUUUUGACAAACUUGACCUCAAAUCAGGUAGGACUACCCGCUGAACUUAAGCAUAUCAAUAAGCGGAGGAAAAGAAACUAACAAGGAUUCCCCUAGUAACUGCGAGUGAAGCGGGAAGAGCUCAAAUUUGAAAUCUGGCGGUUCUUGACCGUCCGAGUUGUAAUCUAGAGAAGUGCUACCUGUGCUGGACCGUGUACAAGUCUCCUGGAAUGGAGCAUCACAGAGGGUGAGAAUCCCGUCUUUGACACGGACUGCCUGUACAUUAUGGUGCGCUCUCGAAGAGUCGAGUUGUUUGGGAAUGCAGCUCAAAAUGGGUGGUAAAUGCCAUCUAAAGCUAAAUAUUGGCGAGAGACCGAUAGCGAACAAGUACCGUGAGGGAAAGAUGAAAAGAACUUUGGAAAGAGAGUUAAACAGUACGUGAAAUUGCUGAAAGGGAAACGCUUGAAGUCAGUCGCGUCGGCUAGAAAUCAGCCUCGCUUUUGCUUGGUGUACUUUCUUGUUGAUGGGUCAGCAUCAAUUUCGACCAUUGGAUAAAGUCGUUGGGAAUGUGGCAUCUUCGGAUGUGUUAUAGCCCAGUGUCGCAUACAGUGGUUGGGAUUGAGGAACUCAGCACGCCGCAAGGCCGGGUCUCUUGACCACGUUCGUGCUUAGGAUGCUGGCAUAAUGGCUUUAAUCGACC
Molecule: ribosomal RNA, 1341 nt
Filed under: uncultured fungus
Lineage: Eukaryota; Fungi
Description: eukaryotic LSU rRNA
Rfam family: Eukaryotic large subunit ribosomal RNA (bases 676-1341)
Source: RNAcentral